CUGGGCGUAGCUCAGCCUGGCAAGAGCGCCGGUUUCGGGAACCGGAGAUCGCAGGUUCGAAUCCUGCCGCCCAGA
This 75-nucleotide transfer RNA is filed under the name Myxococcales bacterium. RNAcentral's name for it is "tRNA-Pro". It matches the Rfam family "tRNA". From Rfam's summary of the family: Transfer RNA (tRNA) molecules are approximately 80 nucleotides in length. Their secondary structure includes four short double-helical elements and three loops (D, anti-codon, and T loops). Further hydrogen bonds mediate the characteristic L-shaped molecular structure. tRNAs have two regions of fundamental functional importance: the anti-codon, which is responsible for specific mRNA codon recognition, and the 3' end, to which the tRNAs corresponding amino acid is attached (by aminoacyl-tRNA synthetases). tRNAs cope with the degeneracy of the genetic code in two manners: having more than one tRNA (with a specific anti-codon) for a particular amino acid; and 'wobble' base-pairing, i.e. permitting non-standard base-pairing at the 3rd anti-codon position. The record is from RNAcentral. Lineage: Bacteria; Pseudomonadati; Myxococcota; Myxococcia; Myxococcales. RNAcentral also lists the same sequence under 2 other names.